GCCCACGUAGUUCAACGGAUAGAAUGUGUCCCUACUAAGUUCAAGAUUCUGGUUCGAUUCCAGACGUGGGCU
This 72-nucleotide transfer RNA is filed under the name Mucilaginibacter lappiensis. Its description in RNAcentral is "tRNA-OTHER". It matches the Rfam family "tRNA". From Rfam's summary of the family: Transfer RNA (tRNA) molecules are approximately 80 nucleotides in length. The record is from RNAcentral. Lineage: Bacteria; Pseudomonadati; Bacteroidota; Sphingobacteriia; Sphingobacteriales; Sphingobacteriaceae.